Molecule: ribosomal RNA, 774 nt
Filed under: uncultured Neocallimastigales
Lineage: Eukaryota; Fungi; Neocallimastigomycota; Neocallimastigomycetes; Neocallimastigales
Description: partial large subunit ribosomal RNA
Rfam family: Eukaryotic large subunit ribosomal RNA
Source: RNAcentral
CGCAUCUGUGCAUGCAGCAUAUCAAUAAGCGGAGGAAAAGAAACUAACAAGGAUUCCCUUAGUAACGGCGAGUGAAGCGGGAAGAGCUCAAAUUUGAAAUCUUCAAGGUUUUACCUUGACGAAUUGUAGUUUAAAGAAGUGUUUUCUGUUGAAGUUUUGGUAAAAGUUCUUUGGAAUAGGACAUCAUAGAGGGUGAGAAUCCCGUAUUUGACCAUUAUUUUCAGCUGUGUGAUACACUUUCAAAGAGUCGGAUUGUUUGGGAAUGCAGUCCAAAAUGGGUGGUAAAUUUCAUCUAAAGCUAAAUAUUGGCGAGAGACCGAUAGCGAACAAGUACCGUGAGGGAAAGAUGAAAAGAACUUUGAAAAGAGAGUUAAACAGUACGUGAAAUUGUCAAAAGGGAAGCGUUUGACACCAGUGUUGUCUUCUCGAAAAUCAAUUAAAAAGAGUUGGAUUUUGUGUUGUAUUGACCUUAACAGCUUGCUUCACUCUUUUCCAGCUUUUUUUAAUGCACUUUUCGUUUAACAAGUCAACACCAGUUUCUUUUGUUGUAAAAGGGUCAUUGGAAGGUGGCUUUCUCUUCGGAGAAAGUGUUUAUAGCCUUUGAUCUCUGCAAUCGGAGAGACUGAGGUCUGCAGCGUAGAUCCUUCGGGGUUAGAUACAUUUGUGCUAAGCUACAGCUUUUCAUAGACAACUUGUUGACUAUGUUUAGUCUUGUGACUUACCCGCUUAUGCUAUUUUACCUACGCUUAGGAUGUUGAUAUGCAUGACUGAUAU